Temnothorax curvispinosus is the source of this 512-nucleotide long non-coding RNA. RefSeq lists it as uncharacterized. The transcript has 3 exons. The record is from RefSeq and is a predicted model, not a curated record. Lineage: Eukaryota; Metazoa; Arthropoda; Insecta; Hymenoptera; Formicidae.
AAAAAAAUACUAUUAGAAUAGCUUUACUAAAGAAAGUAUAUAUAAUACCACAAAAAAGAUACCACGGAAAAAGUAUAAUAUAAUAGGUAUCAAAGAUCAGCGUUAAAAUGUACGGUACAGCAUAUUUUACCGAUGAUAUUACCAUUAUAACCCAGGUAGAGACGUCAUUAAGACGUUAUUACGUCAUUUGACGUCAUUCUGCUACCUGGGAAGAUAUUGCCAUAUCAAAAUAUAAUCACCGAUAUUCUUCUCAAAGAGCGAAUCUGAUGUAUCCAUUAAAGAACAUUACAAGGCAUGAAACAGCGAACAAUGGCGAUUUAAAUAAGCAAGAAAAGAAGACUUCGAGAAAACAAUCUGAUUCUCCUACAGACAGAGGUGAUAUGCAUGGUCCCGAAGACUUGCAGAAAAUUGAUUUACGAAAAUCCGUGUCGCCGACAUCUAAAGUGUUUUUAUUUUUCCUCUACGUAUCCUAUGAACGGAAAUAUUGCGAUAUGAAGACCAAAAUGUAAAUA